RNAcentral lists this long non-coding RNA (2012 nucleotides) under Parus major (Great Tit). RNAcentral's name for it is "lncRNA (ENSPMJG00000007449.1)". Lineage: Eukaryota; Metazoa; Chordata; Aves; Passeriformes; Paridae. The record is from RNAcentral.
UGGACACAGAACUCCUGGGGAGCUGGAGACCCCUGGGGUUUAUUUUGUGCCUUUGUCCCUGGCACAGGCAGAGGAAGGAUGAGCUGGAGCAGAGGAUGUCAGCGCUGCAGGAGAGCAGGAGAGAGCUGAUGGUGCAGCUGGAGGGGCUGAUGAAGCUGCUCAAAGAGAGCCAGGAGGUCUCUGUGCCCCCUGAGAUGGUGGCUGAAGGUUCAGGUGUCUCCUCUCUGGCCCAGGAUCUCCGUGACAAAUGGGACCAAUUACGGCUCUGCUGGAAGAGUAAAACCUUUCACCUGGGGGAUUUUUGGGUGGUUAAAGCUGAUUUGAAGCAGGCUGGAAGCAAGAUAAAGAAACCCAGGAGCUACAGCAGCGUUAGAGAAAUACCAUGGAUUGAUGGAUUGGGAAUGCUGAGGUUGGACAGGGCUCACUUCCCCGUGUGCCUGGUGGCUCCUGCACUGCCACAUCACGGAUGUACAGCCUGCUGUCAGAAAACCCCAACCAUCAGACACCGGUGGAAUACCACACCGUGCCCCAGGAAGGGGAAAAUCCUGUUCCUGGAACCCAUUUUUCCAUAGUGCUGCACCAAAACAGUCCUACCCAAGAGCCUGGCUCUGUGGAACAUCAGUUCCAGCUGCAGCUUUGGCCUCACGUGCUGCUUUCAGCCUGAAACCUCUUGGGGUGUUUUAUUUAUCAAAGUGAAAUGGAAGUUGUUCCAAAGACCAAAAUCAUUAUGUAAUCCAAACUGGGUUUACAGAGAAGUGCUGGUAUUGUAUUUGUGAUUUAGCUGUGAUUUACUGCUGUCAAUAUCCCUCCAGUUUCACCAGCCUGAAGCAGAUGUGCUUAAAUCCACAAAGAAUUCAAGCAGGGAGCAAUAGAAAAUCUGGGGUUUCCAGCUGCUGGAGGGCCCUGGGGCAGUGGGAGGUGUCCCUGCCCUGGCACAGGGUGGGCUUUGUGCUCCCUUCCCACCCAAACCCUUCCAUCAGUGGAUGAUCCAUCAGACCCCGCUCAGGUGUGGAUAUCAGUUCUCUUGUCUCUGCCCCUUGCUCUGCUGAAUUUCACCAAGGGUGGCUGAGGGAGGUGUUUUAAAAGAGCUCAGGAUUCCUGGGGCUGGAAGAGCAGAGUCAGCAUUGCCCCUCCAGCGUGGGGCUCAUCUGGAAACAUCCCAGGUCUCUUCCAUUCCCCGCAUCAUUGGCAGCCUAAUCCCGCCUUGCUGACGGCAAUAGCGAGUCCAUGGGAGAGCUGAGGGACAGAAUUCCAGGAGAUCUGCAUCCAGGGCAUGGCCUGAGCUGGGUCAGGCUGUGCAUCGGGAUCAGGACCAUGGCACCGCUGCUCUGGCUGGGAAUGGACCUUAAAUCCCACCCAGGGACACCUCCCACUGUCCCAGGGUGAUCCAAACCCAUCCAGCCUGGCCUUGGGCACUGCCAGGGAUCCAGGGGCAGCCCCAGCUGCUCUGGGCACCCUGUGCCAGGGCCUGCCCACCCUGCCAGGGAACAAUGCCUGCCCCAAAUCCCAUCCAGGGAGGCUCAGGCAGGACAGGGCACGAUGGAUUGGUGUGGCUGUACGUGACAGGAGAUCAGGCUCCACGUCCAGAAGGUCCCUCCCAGCCCUGUGCUGCCCUGAACAGCUGGGGGUGACCGAAGGGUUUUGGGGGAACCCCUGGAUUUCAGCCUCCCUGCUGGUGAUCCACGACCCCUCGAAGGUGGGAGGCUCUGGGGGAGGUUCUGCUGUGCUGGCCUUGAGGCCACCCACGUUCCCAGGGGAGCCCAGGGUGGCAGAACCUGACCCCAGCCCCAUCUCCCUCCGGGAUGUCACUGCUGUGGGACGUCCCUGCUCCAGGAAUUGUCCAGGUCCCUCUGCUCCAUUGGAACAUGGAGCUUCUUCCUAGGGACAGAAAAAGGGAUCUCACACACACAACAAUCCAAGAGCCAGCAGGAUUCAGAUAAGCAAUUUAGACAAGUAAACAUCUCAUCAUGCCUCAAAAUAAAUGUGGGAAAUUCGGGUUUUGUAUAAAAACU